RNAcentral lists this ribosomal RNA (394 nucleotides) under uncultured bacterium. RNAcentral's name for it is "bacterial SSU rRNA". It matches the Rfam family "Bacterial small subunit ribosomal RNA", at positions 99 to 507 of the family's 1533-position model. The record is from RNAcentral.
CGAACGGGUGAGUAACACGUGGGCAACCUGCCCCAGACACCGGGAUAACCAUCCGAAAGGAUGGCUAAUACCGGAUACGACCACUUUGGGCAUCCAACGGUGGUGGAAAGGAUUCUGGUCUGGGAUGGGCCCGCGGCCUAUCAGCUUGUUGGUGGGGUAAUGGCCUACCAAGGCGACGACGGGUAGCCGGCCUGAGAGGGCGACCGGCCACACUGGGACUGAGACACGGCCCAGACUCCUACGGGAGGCAGCAGUGGGGAAUAUUGCGCAAUGGGCGAAAGCCUGACGCAGCGACGCCGCGUGAGGGACGAAGGUCUUCGGAUUGUAAACCUCUUUCAGCAGGGACGAAGCGAAAGUGACUGUACCUGCAGAAGAAGCACCGGCUAACUACGUG